This 253-nucleotide ribosomal RNA is filed under the name uncultured bacterium. RNAcentral's name for it is "partial 16S ribosomal RNA". It matches the Rfam family "Bacterial small subunit ribosomal RNA", at positions 524 to 776 of the family's 1533-position model. The record is from RNAcentral.
UACGUAGGGGGCUAGCGUUGUCCGGAAUCAUUGGGCGUAAAGCGCGCGUAGGCGGCCCGGUAAGUCCGCUGUAAAAGUCCAGGGCUCAACCCUGGAACGCCGGUGGAUACUGUCGGGCUAGAGUCCGGAAGAGGCGAGUGGAAUUCCUGGUGUAGCGGUGGAAUGCGCAGAUAUCAGGAGGAACACCGAUGGCGAAGGCAGCUCGCUGGGACGGUACUGACGCUGAGACGCGAAAGCGUGGGGAGCGAACAGG